RNAcentral lists this ribosomal RNA (447 nucleotides) under uncultured bacterium. RNAcentral describes it as "bacterial SSU rRNA". It matches the Rfam family "Bacterial small subunit ribosomal RNA", at positions 355 to 825 of the family's 1533-position model. The record is from RNAcentral.
UGGGGAAUUUUGGGCAAUGGGCGAAAGCCUGACCCAGCAACGCCGCGUGAAGGAUGAAGUAUUUCGGUAUGUAAACUUCGAAAGAAUAGGAAGAAUAAAUGACGGCACUAUUUAUAAGGUCCGGCUAACUACGUGCCAGCAGCCGCGGUAAUACGUAGGGACCAAGCGUUGUUCGGAUUUACUGGGCGUAAAGGGCGCGUAGGCGGCAUGACAAGUCACUUGUGAAAUCUCUGGGCUUAACCCAGAACGGCCAAGUGAUACUGUCGCGCUAGAGUGCAGAAGGGGCAAUCGGAAUUCUUGGUGUAGCGGUGAAAUGCGUAGAUAUCAAGAGGAACACCUGAGGUGAAGACGGGUUGCUGGGCUGACACUGACGCUGAGGCGCGAAAGCCAGGGGAGCAAACGGGAUUAGAUACCCCGGUAGUCCCUGAGCGGGCUGGCAAGGCGCAU